Gambusia affinis (western mosquitofish) is the source of this 314-nucleotide long non-coding RNA. RefSeq lists it as uncharacterized. The record is from RefSeq and is a predicted model, not a curated record. The transcript has 3 exons. Lineage: Eukaryota; Metazoa; Chordata; Actinopteri; Cyprinodontiformes; Poeciliidae.
CAGGAGGAUUGUCCAUCUGGGGUUUGAGGAUCUGUAAAGCUUCAUCACGAGGCGUCUGCAUCUUCUUGAACUUCCCAUCUGACUCAUAUCCAACACUUAUUUGCACCCCUGCUGUUUAUAACUUGUACAACCCAUUUUCCCUGGUAGAAAAGCUCCAUGACCAUGGAUUUCAUUCUAUGGACUGGACGGCUACAGAAGGAGUUUGAUUCUGUGCCUAGAGAAGCAUUUCUGUGUUGAGUUGGUGUCGUGCUUUAUGUAAUUACCCUUCAGAGAGACCAAGUGGAAACACUCUUUUUAGCUUUGAGUCUGCGUGU